Molecule: ribosomal RNA, 489 nt
Filed under: uncultured bacterium
Lineage: Bacteria
Description: partial 16S ribosomal RNA
Rfam family: Bacterial small subunit ribosomal RNA
Source: RNAcentral
GACGAACGCUGGCGGCGUGCUUAACACAUGCAAGUCGAACGGUGAAGGGACCAGCUUGCUGGUUCUGGAUGAGUGGCGAACGGGUGAGUAACACGUGAGUAACCUGCCCCCUUCUUCUGGAUAACCGCAUGAAAGUGUGGCUAAUACGGGAUAUUCUGGGUCUGUCGCAUGGCGGGCCCGGGAAAGGUAUUUCUUCGGUUGGGGAUGGGCUCGCGGCCUAUCAGCUUGUUGGUGGGGUGAUGGCCUACCAAGGCGGUGACGGGUAGCCGGGCUGAGGGGGUGGACGGUCACACUGGGACUGAGACACGGCCCAGACUCCUACGGGAGGCAGCAGUGGGGAAGAUUGCACAAUGGGGGCAAGCCUGAUGCAGCGACGCCGCGUGAGGGAGGGAGGCCUUCGGGUUGUAAACCUCUUUCGCAAGUGAAGCAGGCCUGCUCCUUGUGGGUGGGUUGACGGUAGCUGGAUAAGAAGCGCCGGCUAACUACGUG